GACAGAGGGUGCGAACGUUGUUCGGAAUUACUGGGCGUAAAGCGCAUGUAGGCGGCCAAGCAGGUCGGAUGUGAAAUCCCUCGGCUCAACCAAGGAAGUGCAUUCGAAACCGCAUGGCUCGAGUCCCGGAGAGGAAGGCGGAAUUCUCGGUGUAGAGGUGAAAUUCGUAGAUAUCGAGAGGAACACCGGUGGCGAAAGCGGCCUUCUGGACGAGGACUGACGCUGAGAUGCGAAAGCGUGGGGAGCAAACAGG
RNAcentral lists this ribosomal RNA (253 nucleotides) under uncultured bacterium. RNAcentral describes it as "partial 16S ribosomal RNA". It matches the Rfam family "Bacterial small subunit ribosomal RNA", at positions 524 to 776 of the family's 1533-position model. The record is from RNAcentral.